GUAAGGAAUAUUGGUCAAUGGACGAAAGUCUGAACCAGCCAUGCCGCGUGGAGGAUGAAGGUCCUCUGGAUUGUAAACUUCUUUUAUAUGGGACGAAAAUGGGGCUUUCUAGCUCAACUGACGGUACCAUAUGAAUAAGCACCGGCUAACUCCGUGCCAGCAGCCGCGGUAAUACGGAGGGUGCAAGCGUUAUCCGGAUUCACUGGGUUUAAAGGGUGCGUAGGUGGAUUGGUAAGUCAGAGGUGAAAUCUCCGGGCUCAACUCGGAAACUGCCUUUGAUACUAUCAAUCUUGAAUAUUGUGGAGGUUAGCGGAAUAUGUCAUGUAGCGGUGAAAUGCUUAGAUAUGACAUAGAACACCAAUUGCGAAGGCAGCUGGCUACACAUAUAUUGACACUGAGGCACGAAAGCGUGGGGAUCAAACAGGAUUAGAAACCCCAGUAGUCC
This 445-nucleotide ribosomal RNA is filed under the name uncultured bacterium. Its description in RNAcentral is "partial 16S ribosomal RNA". It matches the Rfam family "Bacterial small subunit ribosomal RNA", at positions 354 to 796 of the family's 1533-position model. The record is from RNAcentral.